CGACUUGCCUAGUUAAAUAAAGUGUUCCCCAGAACUGUCAGAGGUCCUACAACCUCAUGGCCUUUGACCCUGACGGUGAUCGUGUCAGAUGCAGAUACGGAUUGGUCAGACCUGAGUGCGAUAGGUGUGAUCAGCCUUCAGGUUUCUACCUGGAUCAGGGCUCUUGCUCCUUACAAUACGGCUACACUUCAACGAGUGGCGUCUACGGGUUUGAGCUGGUUGUAGAGGACUUUCCUAACCAACACAUCACCCUGUCCUACACCGAUGGCUCUAGUUCCUCCAGGGCACCGCUUCAUGCAGGGAGACGCCGACGCGCCAGCUACCAAACAACCGUCUCCUAUCCCUGGUGGUGGAGCCAAACCACCACCACUCCUUCUCCUUGGUGGUGGAGCCAAACCACCACAACUCCUUCUCCUUGGUGGUGGAGCCAAACCACCACAACUCCUUCUCCUUGGUGGUGGUGGAGCCAAACCACCACUGUCGCCCCCUGGCCCACUACCACCACCACCACCCCGCCCACUACCACCACCACCCCCUGGCCCACUACCACCACCACCACCCCGCCCACUACCACCACCACCCC
Long non-coding RNA from Oncorhynchus tshawytscha (Chinook salmon), 583 nucleotides. The record is from Ensembl. Lineage: Eukaryota; Metazoa; Chordata; Actinopteri; Salmoniformes; Salmonidae.